UACGUAGGGUGCAAGCGUUAAUCGGAAUUACUGGGCGUAAAGCGUGCGCAGGCGGUGAUGUAAGACAGUUGUGAAAUCCCCGGGCUUAACCUGGGAAUGGCAUUUGGGACUGCAAGGCUCGAGUGCGGCAGAGGGGGGUGGAAUUCCACGUGUAGCAGUGAAAUGCGUAGAGAUGUGGAGGAACACCGAUGGCGAAGGCAGCCCCCUGGGCUAACACUGACGCUCAGGCACGAAAGCGUGGGGAGCAAACAGG
RNAcentral lists this ribosomal RNA (253 nucleotides) under uncultured bacterium. Its description in RNAcentral is "partial 16S ribosomal RNA". It matches the Rfam family "Bacterial small subunit ribosomal RNA", at positions 524 to 776 of the family's 1533-position model. The record is from RNAcentral.